This is a long non-coding RNA of Lagopus leucura (white-tailed ptarmigan), 547 nucleotides long. RefSeq lists it as uncharacterized. The record is from RefSeq and is a predicted model, not a curated record. NCBI's taxonomy places the organism in Eukaryota, Metazoa, Chordata, Aves, Galliformes, Phasianidae. The transcript is spliced from 4 exons.
GCCCAGAAGGCAGAUGGUAUCUGAGGGCGCAUUAAAAAUAACAUGAGCAGGAGGUCCAGGAGGUGAUCCCUUCAUUCUGCCCUGGUGAGGCCACAAUUGGGCUCCUGUGUGCAGCUGUGGGCUCUCCAAGGCAGGGAACUUCUAGGGAGAGUCCAGCAGAAAGCCACAAAUACAACUGGAUGCCUGGAGCAUCUCCGUUACAAGGAAAGGCUGAGAGACUUGGGUCUGUUCAGCCUGGAGAAGAGGAGAUUGAGGGGAUCUCAUCAAUGCUUAGGUGUUCCAGGAGUGAAACCUCUUCUGUUGCUAUAUGCUGUGUCAGCACUGGGAGGCUCUACUGAUUCUCUGUGCUGAGGUGAGUCUUCUUGGCAGAACUGGCAGGAGUGAUUCAACUGAUCCCCAUCUCUGCGUGGUGAAUUACCAUGCUUGGCACAUGCAGGCUUGUCUGGAUUGCUGCUGCUCAGCCAGGUAGCACAGAAUGAAUUUGCAGAGCAGUCUUCUGACAUGCGUGAAGCAGCGCCAGUUAUUCAAGUCUUACAUGGACGAGGAG